RNAcentral lists this ribosomal RNA (433 nucleotides) under uncultured bacterium. RNAcentral's name for it is "partial 16S ribosomal RNA". It matches the Rfam family "Bacterial small subunit ribosomal RNA", at positions 29 to 507 of the family's 1533-position model. The record is from RNAcentral.
AACGAACGCUGGCGGCAUGCCUAACACAUGCAAGUCGAACGAUGCCUUCGGGCAUAGUGGCGCACGGGUGCGUAACGCGUGGGAAUCUGCCUUUCGGUUCGGAAUAACUCAGGGAAACUUGAGCUAAUACCGGAUAACGUCGCAAGACCAAAGAUUUAUCACCGAAAGAUGAGCCCGCGUAGGAUUAGCUAGUUGGUGAGGUAAAGGCUCACCAAGGCGACGAUCCUUAGCUGGUCUGAGAGGAUGAUCAGCCACACUGGGACUGAGACACGGCCCAGACUCCUACGGGAGGCAGCAGUGGGGGAUAUUGGACAAUGGGCGAAAGCCUGAUACAGCAAUGCCGCGUGAGUGAUGAAGGCCUUAGGGUUGUAAAGCUCUUUUACCCGGGAAGAUAAUGACGGUACCGGGAGAAUAAGCCCCGGCUAACUCCGUG